RNAcentral lists this ribosomal RNA (2038 nucleotides) under human gut metagenome. Its description in RNAcentral is "bacterial LSU rRNA". It matches the Rfam family "Bacterial large subunit ribosomal RNA", at positions 862 to 2925 of the family's 2925-position model. The record is from RNAcentral.
AAAUAGCUUUAGGGCUAGCCUUGAGGUAAAGUCUAAUGGAGGUAAAGCACUGAUUGGACGCGGGUCCCCAAAAGGAUACCAACUUCUAUCAAACUCAGAAUGCCAUAUAGAUAUACUCAGGAGUCAGACUAUGUGAGAUAAGUUUCAUAGUCAAAAGGGAAAGAGCCCAGACCGACAGCUAAGGUCCCAAAGUGUGUGUUAAGUGGAAAAGGAUGUUAGGUUUCUAAGACAACUAGGAUGUUGGCUCAGAAGCAGCCACUCAUUUAAAGAGUGCGUAACAGCUCACUAGUCGAGAGGUCUAGCGCCGAAAAUGUCCGGGGCUAAAACACACCACCGAAGCUACGGAAUUACCUAUGGUAAUUGGUAGAGGAGCAUUCUGUAAGGAUGAAGCACAAUUGAAAGAGAGUGUGGACGAAACAGAAGAGAGAAUGCCGGAAUGAGUAGCGAGAUAUAUGUGAGAAUCAUAUAGGUCGAAUGUCUAAGGUUUCCUGGGUAAAGCUGAUCUGCUCAGGGUAAGUCGGGACCUAAGGUGAGGGCGAGAGCCGUAAUCGAUGGACAACAGGUAGAAAUUCCUGUACUACGUAUAAUCAGAACUGUGGGGACGCAGGAGGAUAGGAAAACCGGAGAAUGGAAAAAUCCGGCUAAGUACAAAGGUGUGAGUGAUAGGCAAAUCCGUCACUAUUAGCUGAAGUACGAAUGGGAGCGAAGAAAAGUAGCGAAGUUUCUGAAUCCACACUGUCAAGAAAAGCCGCUAUUGCGUUAUACGUACCCGUACCGCAAACCGACACAGGUAGACGAGGAGAAAAUCCACAGACCGACGGGAGAAGUGUUGUUAAGGAACUCGGCAAAAUGACCCCGUAACUUAGGGAUAAGGGGAGCCAACGCAAGUUGGUCACAGAAAAGAGGCUCAAGCGACUGUUUAGCAAAAACACAGGUCUAUGCGAAACCGUAAGGUGAUGUAUAUGGGCUGACGCCUGCCCGGUGCUGGAAGGUUAAGAGGAGAGGUUAGCGUAAGCGAAGCUUUGAAUUUAAGCCCCAGUAAACGGCGGCCGUAACUAUAACGGUCCUAAGGUAGCGAAAUUCCUUGUCAGGUAAGUUCUGACCCGCACGAAAGGUGUAACGAUUUGAGCACUGUCUCGACAACACGCCCGGUGAAAUUGAAGAACCAGUGAAGAUACUGGUUACCCGCAACAGGACGGAAAGACCCCAUGGAGCUUUACUGCAGCUUAAUAUUGGGAUUCGGUAUUGUAUGUACAGGAUAGGAGGGAGACUAAGAAGCUAGCACGCCAGUGUUGGUGGAGUCGAUGGUGGGAUACCUCUCUUAUAAUACUGAAUUUCUAACCUACUUCCGUGAUCCGGAAGAGGGACAUUGUUAGGCGGGCAGUUUGACUGGGGCGGUCGCCUCCGAAAGAGUAACGGAGGCGCUCAAAGGUCUUCUCAGAAUGAUUGGAAACCAUUCAAAGAGUGUAAAGGCAAAAGAAGGCUUGACUGCGAGAGUGACAACUCGAGCAGGUACGAAAGUAGGACUUAGUGAUCCGGUGGUAACAAGUGGGAGUGCCAUCGCUUAACGGAUAAAAGCUACCCUGGGGAUAACAGGCUUAUCUCCCCCAAGAGUUCACAUCGACGGGGAGGUUUGGCACCUCGAUGUCGGCUCAUCGCAUCCUGGAGCUGUAGUCCGUUCCAAGGGUUGGGCUGUUCGCCCAUUAAAGCGGUACGCGAGCUGGGUUCAGAACGUCGUGAGACAGUUCGGUCCCUAUCCGUUGUGGGCGUAGGAAAUUUGAUAGGAGCUGUCCUUAGUACGAGAGGACCGGGAUGGACGAACCUCUGGUGAAUCUGUUGGUAACCAAUGCCACAGCAGAAUAGCCAAGUUUGGAACGGAUAAACGCUGAAGGCAUCUAAGCGUGAAGCCAACCUAAAGACUAGAUUUCCCAUGCGAAAGCAGUAAGACUCCUUGUAGACGACAAGGUUGAUAGGCCAGAGAUGUAAGCACAGUAAUGUGUUCAGUUGACUGGUACUAAUAAGUCGAGGGCUUGACCAA